GCAGCUGUAGCUCAGAUGGUUAGAGCGCCGGUCUGUGGAACCGGAGGUCGGUGGUUCGAAGCCACCCAGCUGUACCA
This 77-nucleotide transfer RNA is filed under the name Alphaproteobacteria bacterium. RNAcentral's name for it is "tRNA-His". It matches the Rfam family "tRNA". Rfam says of the family: Transfer RNA (tRNA) molecules are approximately 80 nucleotides in length. Their secondary structure includes four short double-helical elements and three loops (D, anti-codon, and T loops). Lineage: Bacteria; Pseudomonadati; Pseudomonadota; Alphaproteobacteria. RNAcentral also lists the same sequence under 3 other names. The record is from RNAcentral.